This 11084-nucleotide long non-coding RNA is filed under the name Malus domestica (apple). RNAcentral describes it as "long non-coding RNA (MDOM_LNC009870)". The record is from RNAcentral. Lineage: Eukaryota; Viridiplantae; Streptophyta; Magnoliopsida; Rosales; Rosaceae.
AAGUUUUCAAGUCUUUUUCAUUAGUUUUCCUUAAAAAUUCUUGUUUACUCAAUUUUUUAUUGUUUUGAUUUGAUUUGUGGACAAGGAGGGGGAGAACAACUAAGUGGGCCAAACAUUCUAAACCCAUAUCAAGGUGAGCCUUGCUCCUUGGGUUGCUUUGAGAGGGAUUUUAGUAAUUAUUCAAUUUUUCUUCUAUAUUAUGUACCAAUGAAUGAUACGAAAAAUGAACAGCUGAGAUUAAAAGUAGAAAAUCUAAUAGUUAUAAAAAUAAAAUCUAACGACUAAGAACCAAUUACAACAUUGGACGCUUUUUUAGUCUGUUCAAACUAUUUAGGGCCUUAAGCUUUCAUUCUGCAGCAAGGUCGUCCAACUUCAUGUUUUCUGGUAUGACUAGCUUACUAACUUAUCGAAUUCGAUUUACGCAAGAAAUUCAAUGGUGACAAGAGAAAACAAGGAAGAAACAUGAGGAUUGUGUGGUCUGGUGUUAGUCCUGUUGUGCUAGGAUAGCACCAAACCUUAUGGAACCAACUCAGUCUAACCCACAGGAAAUUUAUCAAAUGAAAAUGCAAGAACAAUAUAGAAAAGACACCAAGAUUUUAACGAGGUUCCUCCACAGUCAGUGUAACUGGAGUACGUCCUCGGAGCAGUAGGAGCUCACCCAAUAAUCCACUAUCAACCAAAUGGGAGUUUACAAAGUGUUGGCAAUCUCACAACCCAAAAGCCCAAUACACCCAAUAGCUCUCACACACCAAAGAAACAAAUAGAGAAAGAAAUAUAAUGAAUAAUUUCUUCUCUAUACAUAUAGCUCAAGGCUAUUACUACAACAAUUACUUUGGUUGAUGAUUACUAAUCAAAUGAAGCAGCAGCUUCUUCUUCUGUUUGGACUCACUGCAACUCUCCCUUGCUCUCUACAAAAAGAGCUCUUGGUUCUCUCUUGUUUUUAUCAAACCGAAAUGAGCUCUCAUUCUUUUCUAUUUGCUUCAAAGGCAACUUGUCCCCAUAUUGAACCAACACCCACGGGUGUUGAAGAGAACAAAAAACCUUUUCCCUAUUUUCCUCCCCAAAACAAGGAAAGGUGUUGUCCACCUUCUUUCUUUAUAAUUUUUUUAUAGCCAAAAGUUGUUUAGAUUUUUGUGUAGCCGAAAGCAUUUGCAAGUUGGCCACUAUCCAACAAUCUCCACCUUGGCCAAAUUCCGAAAAACGCCAUGACAAGCCAACCAACACAAUUGAUACACAACAUCACUCCUAAACACUAGCAAGAGAACAACUCAUGCCGAGCCAAUUGCUCCAAAACUCCUACUGCUCAACACCUUCUUUAUAUAGGCAUAAUGUGAGCCAAGUUCAAACAGUGAACAAACUUGGCUACACCAACAACCUUAGUCAACAUAUCAGCGGGGUUGUCUUUCGUUGGAAUCUUCUGGAGAAUGAUUUCCCCUUCACCAACAAUUUCACGAACAAAGUGAUAACGCACAUCUAUGUGCUUGGUCCUCGCAUGAUGAACCUGAUACUUAGCCAAAUAAAUGGCACUCUGACUAUCACAAUGUACCUCCACCUGCUUCUGAUCAACCCCCAAAUCUCUAAUCAGCCCAUGUAUCCAAAUGGCCUCCUUUAUAGCUUCAGCAACUGCCAUAUAUUCAGCCUCUGUAGUAGACAAGGCAACAGACGACUGCAAAAUGGACCUCCAACAAACUGGCCCUUUAGCCAUAGUAAACACAUAGCCUGUAGUAGACUUCCUUCCAUCCAGAUCACCUGCAUAAUCUGAAUCAACAUAACCAACUGCAAAAUGACCAAUACCAGAGUCAUCCCUCUCAAAACAUAAACCAACAUCUCGAGUACCAUGGAGAUAUCUCAAUAUCCACUUAGCUGCUUGCCAAUGCUCUUUACCUGGAUUAUGCAUAUAUCGACUCACCAUGCCAACUGCAUGAGCAAUAUCCGGUCUAGAGCAUACCAUUGCAUACAUCAAACUACCAACCAAAUUUGCAUAUGGUAUAUUUUUCAUUUGCAGCUUCUCUUUAUCAUUUUUAGGACAUUGUAGAGAACUCAAUUUAAAAUGAGGAGCCAAAGGGGUACUAACCGGUUUGGUUGAAUCAUGAACUCCAAACUUCCGAAUCAACUUCUCAAGGUAUUGUCUUUGAUUCAAACUGACAAAACCCUUUGCUCUAUCUCUAGUGAUCUCCAUGCCAAGGAUCUUCUUCGCUUCACCAAGAUCCUUCAUCUCAAACUCAUUCUUCAUUUGUUUCUUCAAUUUCUCAAUCUCUUCAACAUUCUUUGAGGCAAUCAACAUAUCAUCAACAUAUAUCAAUAAAUAAAUGAAAGACCCAUCUUGCAACUUCUUGAAGUACACACAAUGAUCAUAUUGACUUCUAGAAUAAUUUUGGCCUCUCAUAAAUUUAUCAAACCUCAAAUACCAUUGCCUUGGAGAUUGCUUCAAGCCAUAAAGUGAUUUCUUCAAUUUGCAAAACAAAUUUUCCUUCCCUUUCACUAUAUACCCAUCCGGUUGACACAUAUAGAUCUCUUCAUUCAAAUCACCAUGUAGGAAAGCCGUCUUCACAUCGAGUUGCACAAGCUCAAGAUCAUAUUGUGCAACAAGAGCUAACAUAAUACGAAUUGAGGAGUGUUUCACAACUGGAGAAAAUAUUUCAUUGUAGUCAAUGCCCUCCUUUUGUGCAUACCCUUUAGCAACUAAUCUUACUUUAAAUCUCACAUUGCUUUUCUCAUCAGCAUCUUCCUUCUUGGCAUACACCCAUUUGCAACCAAUAGCUUUCUUGCCCUUAGGCAAUUUAGCUAACUCCCAAGUCUUGUUCUUCAAGAGAGAAUUCAUCUCAUCACCCAUGGCAUUGCACCACCUAUUCUUCUCCUCACUCUCAAUAGCUUCCUCAAAAUUGGAUGGAAUCUCUUCAGUGAUAAUAGGAAGAGCAAAAGCAACAUAAUCACUAUACCGAGCUGGCUUGGUAAUUUGUCUCUUUCCUCUGUUCUUGGCAAUAGACUCUUGAGGUGAAACUUGCUCUCUUCAACUUGAAUAGAAUCUUCAAGUUCAACUUCUUCAACAUCCUCAUGGUCUCCAACUUCUUCACUUGUAGUGGCAUCGACAUCAGCGGAAAUAGGAUUUGAAGUAUCAGAGGCAACUUUCUCAAGCUCCACCUGUUGGACAUCUUUCACAUUCUUCUCAGAGACUUUGUACAUACUUUCUUCAUCAAAUGUCACAUCUCUGCUAAUUACCAGUUUCUUCAUCUCUCUGGACACACCACAACCUGUAACCUUUGACACCACUACUAAAACCAAGAAAAAUAGCCUUUUUGGCUCUAGGAUCAAGUUUUAUUUUCAGUCACAUGAAAAUAAGCAGGUGAACCAAAAAUACGGAUAUAGUCAUAAUCAGAAGAAGGUUUUCCAAUCCAUACCUCCAUUGGUGUCUUACCCUGAACAGCAGCUGAGGGUAACCGGUUGAUGAUGUGACAUGCAUAAUUAACUGCUUCUGCCCAAAAUGACUUGCUUAAACCCGACUGAGACAACAUACAUCUAACCUUCUCAAGCAAGGUUCGAUUCAAUCUUUCUGCAACUCCAUUUUGUUGUGGAGUUCCCCGAACACUGAAAUGUCUCACAAUUCCUUCCUCUUUGCAAACUUUAAAGAAAGAAGGAUCGGAUGUGUAUUCACCACCAUUAUCCGAUCUCAAAAUCUUAAUCUUUCUCCCAGUCUGGUUCUCAACCAUUUUCUUCCAACCCAAGAAAAAUGCUUAACACCUCACUCUUGUGCUUCAUAGUGUAGACCCAAGACCUUCUUGAAUAAUCAUCAACAAAGGUCACGAACCAAUGUCUACCACUCAAAGAGGGAAUCUUUGUAGGACCCCAAACAUCCGAAUGCACAUAAUCAAGAAUGCCCUUCGUCUGAUGUACAGCAGUACCAAACUUCACUCUAGUUUGCUUCCCCAAGACACAAUGCUCACAGAAAUCAAGCUUACAAGUCGUGGCACCUUUUAGAAGACCUUGUUUCACAAGCCCUUGUAGAGCUUUCUCACCGGCAUGGCCUAAUCUCAUAUGCCACAAUCUAGUAGUAUCUGAAUCAGAUGUGCCCAUAUUUUCAGAGACUACAGAUGCUUCACCUGUCACAGUGCUUCCCUGCAAUAAAUACAAAUGGCCACAUCUAGGAGCUUUCAUCACAACAAGUGCACCAUAAGUAACUUUCAAUGUCUGUCCAUCUGAAUGAAACCUGAAGCCCUUGGAUUCCAAAGUACCCAAAGAAAUAAGAUUUUUCUUCAAAUUCGGUACAUACCGAACACAUGUCAACUCUUUAACCAUGCCAUCAUGCAACUUCAAACGAACUGUACCAAUCCCUUUUGUUGUGCAAGGAUUGUCAUCUCCCAUGAACACAACGCCACCAUCAAACUCUUUCAAGCUUGAAACCAAUCCUUGUGAGGAGUCAUAUGAUGAGUACAACCCGUAUCCAACACCCACUUAGUAGCACAAUCAAAUGAUGAAGAAGUGGUUAAAGCAAAAUCAGAAAAAUCUGUUUCAACCUCAGCAACAUUAGCUUCAGAACUUUCUUUGCCUUUGGUCUUCAAUUUAGGACAAUCUUUCUUCCAAUGACCUUUAUUACGACAAAAGGCACAUUCAUCCCUUUCCAAAGGUUUUCUACCUUUAGAGUUUCCUCUAGGUCGAGACUGUGAUUUUUUCCUACUAGAAGAUGAUCUCCUCUCCGAUGAUCUACCUCUAACAAAUAAAGCUUCAGAGGUACUAUCAUGAUUUUUAUCUCUAUGCCUCAUUUCAUAAUUCAUCAAGGCAUUUGACACAUCUUCAAGUUUCACAGUUUCUUUACCAUGCAUAAUAGUGGUAACAAAAUGCUCAUAAGAGUCCGGCAAUGAAUUCAACAAUAUUAAGGCCUUAUCUUCAUCCUUAAUAUCCUCAUCUAAAUUUAACAAGUCGGCAAUCAACUUAUUAAAAGCAUCAAGGUGUCUAAUCAUUUUUGUACCUUCUUUGUAUUGGAAGCGGUAGAGUUUUUUCUUCAAGUGUAGCCGGUUCUCUGCACUCUUCGUCAUAUACUUGUCUUCCAAUUUUUGCCACAACACACUUGCUAAUGUCUCCCGCAUCACAAAAUACUUCUGAGUUUUUGCAAGGCACAACCGAAUUGAAGAGCAAGCCCACAAAUUUAAUUUCUCCCAUUCCAACUUCGACAUAGCUUCCGGCUUCUCUCCCAAAGCGGCAAGUAGAUCUUGUUGAGCCAACACAUCUUUGACCUCACAUUGCCACAUCCCGAAGUUGUUUGUGCCAUCAAACUUUUCCACUUCGAACUUUGCAUUUUGCACCGUAGUUCUUGCAAACCCAGAGGUGCUUCCAAAAGGAUUUUCAUCUUGCCCGUCUGACAUCUUUGGCAACUAGACAGUACCCAAGAGCAACUAGUGCUCUGAUACCAAUUGUUGUGCUAGGAUAGCACCAAACCUUAUGGAACCAACUCAGUCUAACCCACAGGAAAUUUAUCAAAUGAAAAUGCAAGAACAAUAUAUUAAAGACACCAAGAUUUUAACGAGGUUCCUCCACAGUCAGUGUAACUGGAGUACGUCCUCGGAGCAGUAGGAGCUCACCCAAUAAUCCACUAUCAACCAAAUGGGAGUUUACAAAGUGUUGGCAAUCUCACAACCCAAAAGCCCAAUACACCCAAUAGCUCUCACACACCAAAGAAACAAAUAGAGAAAGAAAUAUAAUGAAUAAUUUCUUCUCUAUACAUAUAGCUCAAGGCUAUUACUACAACAAUUACUUUGGUUGAUGAUUACUAAUCAAAUGAAGCAGCAGCUUCUUCUUCUGUUUGGACUCACUGCAACUCUCCCUUGCUCUCUACAAAAAGAGCUCUUGGUUCUCUCUUGUUUUUAUCAAACCGAAAUGAGCUCUCAUUCUUUUCUAUUUGCUUCAAAGGCAACUUGUCCCCAUAUUGAACCAACACCCACGGGUGUUGAAGAGAACAAAAAACCUUUUCCCUAUUUUCCUCCCCAAAACAAGGAAAGGUGUUGUCCACCUUCUUUCUUUAUAAUUUUUUUAUAGCCAAAAGUUGUUUAGAUUUUUGUGUAGCCGAAAGCAUUUGCAAGUUGGCCACUAUCCAACAAGUCCUACAAGUCAACUUCGUGUAACAUACAGUCGGACGCGUCUACCAACCGUACGGGGCCAUUGACACAUCGAGCAUGUACAAAUGUCCUACCGGAGUUUAAGAUUUGCUGAUAAUCUCCACAGUUUAAUGUUAUGAAUACAGUAACUAGGUGUGUUUCAUACUGAGUUUCAGAAGCACCAAAGUUGAGUCGGAAUUUCAAAUUUUCGUAUGUUUCUUGCACGCUUAAAAUUUUAACAUACUGUAAUGAAAAUCGAAUUCUGGUUCUGCACUGGCUAUAUUCAAAUUGAAUAUGAUAAAUAACAUGCGUUGUAAACCAUAAGCAGAAACUAAAAUGUUAAAUACAAAGACAUAAACAAGUUCAUAAAAUCACCAUUUUAUGUGGUGGGAAAUUGCCGAUUUGUUACUUUUCACCCUGCUUCACCAUCUGCACAACUUUGAAACACAGAUACAAUGAUGAAGAGGAGAGGAGUGAUUCUUGAAGGCGGGUUGUGCUUAUAGCAUGCUGUCUGAUCUUGCAGGCAACCUCCUAAAGAAGUUGAGUGGCACUGAAGGAAGUUUGUGGCGUAAUCUGGGAUGCCUUAACACGUAAAUGCCUGCUAGAAGGGCCACAACUUGGAAUGGAGUUACAUAGAGAACAAUGGCGGCAAUCAAACAGAAAGUUACGAACAGGGUUGUGGCUCUAGGGUCUCUCCAACUCAGAAGAGACUGAAACCUUUCCCCUUGAGUUGCCAGAUCACCGACAACAGUCUGAACCCUCCCUGCUAUGCUUCUUAGUCGAUCAUAUCUCAUUCUCACAAUAUCUGAUGGCCGAGAAGUUGGGAAUGUGUCAAACUCUUCAUCUCGUUCGUCAGGAUGAGCAGCAUCAGCAUGAGAUAGCCGUGUGUCCAUGUGAGGAGGGUGCCUCGGCCUCCACCGGUAGUUCCAAAUUCCAAUCAAGAAUAGGUAGAGAAAAAUAGUUGGAAGAAUUAGUUCCGGAUAAAGAACCAAUAUAAUAAAGAGGAUAUGAAUUAAAAUGGUUGUGAGAGGAUUCUUCCAAUUGCAGAUUUGAUCAAGCCAUUUUCCUACUGCAAUCACCCCGCUUAAAACUCCCAUUAUUCGGAAAAAAUUUGCCUUGCUUCUUCUCAUGCUCCACAUAUGUGAAUCAACAUCCAGCAUAUACUCCACAACCUCUUUCCUCAGUGGGGGCUCAGCCCGGUUCAGCCUCAUUGAGACAAUCUGCAUAGCCUGGUGCCUCAAGCUAUCGAGCUGAAUCACAGACAAUGGAUGAAUGUAAUGCAUUUUUGGCAACAAAGGAUGCGAAUACAUAUACAGCAUAUUAAUCAAAGAUGAGCAUGUAAACCUCACUGCCAGCUGAAUUUCACCCAUUUCUUCACCCCAGAUGGAUGUAGGACCAGAAGAGGGUACGAAUGUGUGUAAACCCUGUCAGCUUCAAGUGUAGAUAGCCGAAUUCUCACUUUGCCAAUUCUUGAAUCCUUUCCCCCUUUAUCACCUCCAUGUAUAUGACCAUUGUCAAAAACCCCAAUUGUAAUGACAGUACACGGGUCGAAAACCUCCCAGAUGUACUGCUCAUUCCACUUGGGAUUGAAGCUGUCCACGAUUGUCCUUGUGCGAACCCAUUUCUGCCCGUAUUUUGCUACACAAUAAGCAUCUGUGGUACCUCGGCCAUCUUUUGUUUUCAUUGGCAUCAAACCAACUGCGCUUAUAACCCCUACCUCAAAAAUCCCGAUGCUCGACUUCCACAACUGCUUUGCAGUUGGCCUGAGAUCACUACUGUAGUGUGUUGAUUCAUCCAAGACAUGGUACCCACCAUCCAAGCAAAUCCGUAAAUGAAUCCUGCUGGAAAAUUUGAUCUCCCUCUUCUGUUCCCCAUCUACGAUCAUAUGCUUCUCAAGAUUAAACCACCUCGUGUGCACAGGUUUAUGGUCUAACCUCCUCUGCACAGUCUGUAAAGCAAUCACACACUUACCCAAAAUUUCAUCUUUGCCGGAUCCCACUCUAUCUUCCACAGUAAGAUACAACGGUUCCUCAAAUGGUUCAGCAGCAACAAACAUCAAAUCCUCAUUCCAAAUUGGGUUAAUACUUUUGCUCUGUGAUAUUCUAGUCCUCAAUACCUGAUUUCCACAGAUAACCUUCACAAAAACUUCCGGAUACCUACUCUUGUCAUUAGGUAGCAAGUCCUGAGCUUCAAUAACAUUAACCCUCACAUACCAAAGCUUGGGGGAGAGGUAUACCUUCGAUCGAAUGUUAUUGACACCCUCGGGCCCAACUGUUGCAGCAUCAGAAUGCCACGCAUCAGGAAACGCCUCGUCUGCUUGAGUUCCCAUCCAAACUGCCAACAUCAGCUCCCCCUUGACCUUAACCCCCUUCCUGUCCUCCAACCUAUACCACUGUGGUGCCAGUGGGCUAUCUGGUGGAAAGCGUUUCGGGAUGUCAUUGAGCUCAAACAUAAUCCUGCCCAUGAAAUCAUCUAGCACAACAUCCUUAUCUUUCACCACAACUUCCAAAAAUGAAGCUUGAAGUCGAUCUUUGGAGAAAGCAAACACCUGAUUCCAUUCAGGGUUGGACUUCUUCUCAAAAUGCCUAGUAACUCCCUUAUAGUUUCCAAGUUUCACUUCGACAUAGGGAUCACAACUACCAGUGACAUCUUUUGCAGGCAAAUCCUUUGCUUUCACCACACGAACGUAAAGGUAGUGCAUCUGUUCUACGAGGUCAUAUGUGCAUGAGAGCUUGUCCCCCGUGAUAGAGCCCGCGCCAAUGUUUGGCGACGUCUCUUUCAAAGCAAAAUCUUGAGACUGCGGAGGCUUCUGCAUUUUUCUAGUUUGUGGGAACGGAAAGAGAAGCUACUCCUUAAACACCAAACCAGGGUAAAAAAACAAAUUGAAUUCGAAUGACACAAAUGCUCAGUACAAGUGAAACCUCAAAAGAUUUCCAACACCAACAAUCAAUUCCUUCCUAAAGAUGUAUAAAUUUUCUGUAAAAUGGAACAAAGAUUAUCUCAAAGAUAAAAGAGAUGGCUUUACCAAGAACUUCAAAAGAAAGAAAUCAUGAAGGACUUGUUAACAACCUGCAGAUUCAAAGAGAUCAAGAAAUCAAUAUAUUACUCUUCCAUAAAGUAACCCUCUUUCGGUUUCUUUGAGAAGAAAGUAGAGAGAGAGAGAGAGAGAGAUUCAAAUGUCGCUUCCCUUUUCCAUUUUUGGGAUCACAGAGAAAAUGAAGAAAAAAAACAUCAUUUCGAGUAUUUUCAACUUAGAAAGACACUAAGUUUUCCCUUUUUCAACAUUUAUAUAACUUGAGAACAACCAAUACAUAUAUUCUAUUCAAUCAAUAUAUUUUCUGAGCAACCAAACAUAUUUCACAGUACAAAAACCUAAUCAGAGAGUACUAAAAGAAGAUAAAUGACCAAACUUAGCUUUAUAUUCACAACUCACAGAUCCAGUGCAGAAACCCCAUCAAGUCCAAGACGACAAGUAAGCUCAAAUUUAAAAAAAAAAAACUUGCACAUUAACUUCAACUAAUCACACCUAAAGAAAAAUGGGUUUCAAACAACGACUAAAAAAACCAACUUCAGGAAAACCUUAAAAGUAAGCAAGCAUUGUUCAACUUCACAAGCAAAUUAAAUGACCAACUUAUAAAAAAAUAAAAAAUAAAAAAUAAAAAGCAGAAAAAGGGGAACAAGAAAACCUUACAAGUAAUGCCGACUUAUUAGAGUUAUAAAGUAAAACACUGACCUGAGGUAUCUAAAAGUGCUUUUCUUCAAGGUGCGUCCAUGGAAAAUUUUCGACUUUAAGAAAAUAAAAAAAUGGGAAAAUUCAGUUUUUUGCAAGGGAAGAAAAAAAGGGCAGCUGAAGAGAGUGAAGAGUGUGUGGGGCUGAGAUCUGUGAGAAAGACUGAAUCUUCUCUGUAUAAAGAGCAUCGACAGAAAGAAACCUACUGAGUGCCAACUUUUUCACACCUCCUUAACAAUUUUUUAUGUGUUUUGUUAGUUCUUAUUGUUUUGUUUAAGAGGAGGCAUGUCACACGUGUGAGAGGAUUGUGGUCGGUUUUGGCAUCAUUCCUGAAAAAUAAUGCUCCGCUGUUUAAUGAAGACCAACAAGUUGUGUUGAAAACACAAUUGAAAGUGGAUACGUGUUCAUUUGUUGGUCUUGGAGUAGUGUUUCUCAAAGAUAUGAGACAAUUGUGUGUCUUUUAAUAUGUUUCUUGGUUUGCUCAUUAUAUGUGAUGCUUUGAUAAUGAAAUGCGUAUUUGGUGCACUCUGUAAGAGUUUCUUUAGUAUUUCUCAUAUAAUUAAGCAUUUUAGUGAUAAUUUCGAGAUUUUUACGUAAUAGUGGGAUCAUAAUGAGUUGGGAGUAACCUUGAUGAAAAUUGGAAAAAUAUAUCAUUGAGGGAGGAGAAUUCGAAUCCAAAACUUUUGGGCUCAUUUGUAAGUGUAAAUCUUUUUUUUGGUAAAAAGUGUAAAUCAUUUUAAUCAUAGAGUUACUUGAGCCUCUAGCCCUAGACGAUACCUAUGUUUUUUGUUUUUUAUACAACAAUAUUCUAAUCUAAAAAGGAAAAAGUUAUGUUAGUCACACAAUCGUUGAGCUACCGGCUUAUCAACCCUAUAAAAAAACACCUAUGUUUUUGUAGGCUUAUGUUAGUUUUAUCCUCUAUAACUCGAUUUCGGUCACACUUUACCUCCUAUAACUCAAAAGUCAUUGCUUACUCAAAAUUUACUCCAAAAUAAACGCAAGCACUUAAAUUGAUAUUACAAUACAAAAUGGGUCAGUUUUAGGUACGUCCAUUGAACUCAAAAGUCACCACUUUAUUUGUAUUGUAUGAUAUUUACUCUAAAUAAUUAAGAGCAUGUGUUUAUCACACAAUAGACCAGCAUCGAAGGCGACCAUUACCUAUGUCAAUAUGUUAGAAAAGGACAAGGAUUGUCUGCCUUCCCACUUCCGGUGCCCUUCCGUGCCCUCCUAUUUUGUGUAGUCACGGUUAAGUCACGUCAACAUUUUAU